Molecule: long non-coding RNA, 612 nt
Organism: Oncorhynchus nerka (sockeye salmon)
Lineage: Eukaryota; Metazoa; Chordata; Actinopteri; Salmoniformes; Salmonidae
Exons: 2
Source: RefSeq, a predicted model, not a curated record
UCUACCCUGUGACUUCUUCUACUCUGCCACGCUUGUAGUUGUCAAAGAGGAAGGGAACAAUAAAACUCUGGCUUCCUGGAUUUAAUUGCAAGCUAUGACUUGCGAUUCGUCAGUGAUGUGACAUAACUGCCACUUGGACCUCAGCCCUAGGACCAUGCCCCAGGACUACCUGACAUGAUGACUCCUUGCUGUCCCCAGUCCACCUGGCCGUGCUGCUGCUCCAGUUUCAACUGUUCUGCCUUAUUAUUAUUCGACCAUGCUGGUCAUUUAUGAACAUUUUAACAUCUUGGCCAUGUUCUGUUAUAAUCUCCACCCGGCACAGCCAGAAGAGGACUGGCCACCCCACAUAGCCUGGUUCCUCUCUAGGUUUCUUCCUAGGUUUCUUCCUAGGUUUUGGCCUUUCUAGGGAGUUUUUCCUAGCCACCGUGCUUCUACACCUGCAUUGCUUGCUGUUUGGGGUUUUAGGCUGGGUUUCUGUACAGCACUUUGAGAUAUCAGCUGAUGUACGAAGGGCUAUAUAAAUAAAUUUGAUUUGAUGUUUGAUGUAGUCAACUAGCACUACUUUCCUUCAGAACAUUUAAGGCAAAGAAACAAAAGAAAAAAAGUGAUAGG